Molecule: ribosomal RNA, 466 nt
Filed under: Streptococcus constellatus
Lineage: Bacteria; Bacillati; Bacillota; Bacilli; Lactobacillales; Streptococcaceae
Description: bacterial SSU rRNA
Rfam family: Bacterial small subunit ribosomal RNA
Source: RNAcentral
GACGAACGCUGGCGGCGUGCCUAAUACAUGCAAGUAGAACGCACAGGAUGCACCGUAGUUUACUACACCGUAUUCUGUGAGUUGCGAACGGGUGAGUAACGCGUAGGUAACCUGCCUGGUAGCGGGGGAUAACUAUUGGAAACGAUAGCUAAUACCGUAUAAGAACAUUUACUGCAUGGUAGAUGUUUAAAAGGUGCAAGAGCAUCACUACCAGAUGGACCUGCGUUGUAUUAGCUAGUUGGUGAGGUAACGGCUCACCAAGGCAACGAUACAUAGCCGACCUGAGAGGGUGAUCGGCCACACUGGGACUGAGACACGGCCCAGACUCCUACGGGAGGCAGCAGUAGGGAAUCUUCGGCAAUGGGGGGAACCCUGACCGAGCAACGCCGCGUGAGUGAAGAAGGUUUUCGGAUCGUAAAGCUCUGUUGUUAAGGAAGAACGUGUGUGAGAGUGGAAAGUUCACACA